UGCAGACUGUUGAUCUAAAUGUGUUUAACAUUAAUAUUAAAUAUCAUUGUUAGUCAGAAAAAAUGCAACAAAAAUUGAGAGACUGAAGACGAAACACUUUGGAAACGGAAAAUAGCCCAAUUCUAAAAUAAAUCCGAAAUGGAGAACUUCAAAUUAAAUUUUGCUUAAUUCUACAUUCUGAUAACAUUUUGUCUUCAGUAAGAUUGACUCUCGAAAACUUUCCUACAAGCAGGUGGUGUCAUAUUUUCUGGCUUAAGGCAAAGAAAAUUUGCGUAAAUGAAAAUUUUGCCUGUGAUGAAGCACACCCCAAUUUGCAAGAGCUGUACAUUGAAAACCUGGACAUCCUGCAUCCUUCUCAGAAUUAAUUUGCUGUAAGUUACUCAAUGUCGCUCCAAUUUUAAGGAUAAGGAUGGAACCUUAACAUAUGCCCAGUAAGACAGUUACCAUAAUUUAGUUCCUAGCUGUUUUUUUUUCCUGCAAAGAUAACCAUAACUUUGCAAAUUUUUAAAUUUGAGUCUUGUCAGAAGAAUUGACACUUACAGAUAGCUGCCAAGAUCAGUGCAAAAUUUCACAAGAAAAUAAUUUACUGGACAGGUGUCUUUCUUGUGUUUGCAAAUAAUGUGAAUUUUGAUUAAUAAACUCUUGAAAUGUAGUUGAAAAGUGAGUUUGUUGUUAAUCUACAGAGAAAACUACAUACGGUAGUAAAGACCUCUGAUUCCAAUCAUUGACCCAAUUAAUGUAAAAAUGUAAAAAAAAAA
Molecule: long non-coding RNA, 758 nt
Organism: Orbicella faveolata
Lineage: Eukaryota; Metazoa; Cnidaria; Anthozoa; Scleractinia; Merulinidae
Source: RefSeq, a predicted model, not a curated record